Molecule: ribosomal RNA, 243 nt
Filed under: uncultured Methanosaeta sp.
Lineage: Archaea; Methanobacteriati; Methanobacteriota; Methanomicrobia; Methanotrichales; Methanotrichaceae
Description: partial 16S ribosomal RNA
Rfam family: Archaeal small subunit ribosomal RNA
Source: RNAcentral
ACUGUGGGACCGCCGCUGCUAAAGCGGAGGAAGGAAUGGGCAACGGUAGGUCAGUAUGCCCCGAAUAUCCCGGGCUACACGCGAGCUACAAUGGUUGGUACGAAUGGGUAUCUACCCCGAAAGGGGACGGGAAUCUCCUAAACCAAUCUUAGUUCGGAUUGAGGGCUGCAACUCGCCCUCAUGAAGCUGGAAUCCGUAGUAAUCGCGUUUCAACAGAACGCGGUGAAUACGUCCCUGCUCCUU